RNAcentral lists this ribosomal RNA (492 nucleotides) under uncultured bacterium. RNAcentral describes it as "partial 16S ribosomal RNA". It matches the Rfam family "Bacterial small subunit ribosomal RNA", at positions 29 to 507 of the family's 1533-position model. The record is from RNAcentral.
AGUGAACGCUGGCGGUAGGCCUAACACAUGCAAGUCGAACGGCAGCACAGUAAGAGCUUGCUCUUACGGGUGGCGAGUGGCGGACGGGCGAGGAAUACAUCGGAAUCUACUUUUUCGUGGGGGAUAACGUAGGGAAACUUACUCUAAUACCGCAUACGACCUACGGGUGAAAGCAGUGGAUCUUCUGACCUUGCGCGAUUGAAUUAGCCGAUGUCGGAUUAGCUAGUUGGCGGGGUAAAGGCCCACCAAGGCGACGAUCCGUAGCUGGUCUGAGAGGAUGAUCAGCCACACUGGAGCUGAGACACGGUCCAGACUACUACGGGAGGCAGCAGUGGGGAAUAUUGGACAAUGGGCGCAAGUCUGAUCCAGCCAUACCGCGUGGGUGAAGAAGGCCUUCGGGUUGUAAAGCCCUUUUGUUGGGAAAGAAAAGCAGCAGGUUAAUACGCCGCUGUUCUGACGGUACCCAAAGAAUAAGCACCGGCUAACUUCGUG